CAAGAAAGUAACCAAGAGACCUGAUAUCUUUCCUGUAGGGGAUCCAGAACCUCACUCCCAGAGGCCCUGAGUCCCCUAUCCCAUGUCUGUCUCCCUCUAGGCUUGUAGCACUUGUGCCUAUAUAGUUGUAAUUAUCCAGAGGGACCCAGAAGUUCACCUGGACUGCACACCUGUUCCUUGAGUCCCAAUGCAAAUACCAGCCCACCUCCUCCUGAACCAAUGUUGUACAACCCUGCUGGCAUAGUGACUUCUCUUCUUCUCUUCUGAUCUCUGUCUAGAAGACCCCAGGCAUCAAUCAUACCACAUAACCCAGUGGGAGCCCUACAGAUGCCCUGAAGAAAGUGUGCCCCUCUGGGGACCAGCACCCCUGACCCUGAGGACCAGUAUCCACAAUCCUGGGACCAGCACCCCGAACCCUGCAGAGCCCACUUCAUGGGGGACAUCUGCUGGACCAAGCUACGCUGCAUGGAACUGUCAAGACAGAAUUUCUGAGACACGCCAAGCUUCCAGACCCAAACCAAAAAGUGAAUAUGCAGCACCACGGAAAAACUACUCUCUGAAUUAAGCUGAGAUAAUUACAGUAUGGUGGGAAGACAGAGCCACGCAGACCUGCUCAGAUGCUUGCUGCACCCAGGGCUGCACUUCCACCUGCAGGUCCUUCUGAGAGAGAUGGAGACUUCGGACAGAACAAAGAAGUUGCUGGCUGCUCACGUUGUGCUCUUUUUGGAGGCUAAUCCACAGGGCACCUUCCCUGGUACUGGUUAGGAACGAAUCACUGGGAUUGCUCUGGGCUCUUGUCCUAGUUUGUUUUGCUGAAUCUUUUCCCAACCCUUUUGUGGGCCAAAAAACCAAAUAUCAGGGUAUGAAACAGGACAAUGCCAAAGGGAGGAUAAAGGGCAAGCUAAGGGAUCAAGAGUCCCAGGGGUGUGGUUUCUCACCUGUCACCAAAAUCUGUGCAAAAGUCAGCAAAGAGCACAAGGACACGAAGGGCCACAAUGUGUCCUGCCAGGCAGACUGCAAAGGGGGACACAGGCUUCCAGUGCUCAGCAUGUGGCUCCAGCCACCUUUGGCUUCCAACUGCUGCAUCUGCAGCUCCGAAUUGCCACCUGAUGCUGGUGACAGAGCCUGUAGCAGCCCAGAGUCCUGGAGUGUCAGAAGCUUGCCCAGGAGCCCUUAGCCAGUGACUGGAGCACUGACUGCUGACAGUGGUCUACAUUAGCCCCAGGGUGCCUCAUUAGGCUCAAGCUCCAGAUAACCCCUGCAGGGUUUUGCUUGAGAAAGGAUCCUUUAUUGGCUAUGGCUUUGCCUGUGGCACUCCCUUGUUCUCUUGCUGGGCUUUUCUGGAAAUCCCCUCCUAAACAAGCUGUUUGCAGACUCUCAACUUAAGGUCUGUGUUAAAGGGACACACACACACACACACACACACACACACACACACACACACACACGAGGACAGUAUGCUGCUAACCUGGAGUUUGCAUCUGUCUGGCUGGGCCGCAUUCACAGGCAGAUGGACGCACACAAACAUGCAACUCAUAACACACGUCAGGUAUCAUGGUUGCCACCCACUGGGCACGCAGGAAACUUAAUUUCUUUGAGUUUCAUUUUGAGAUUGGUUGACCUGAUUUCUCAUAACCAAAGCAAGCAUUCACUCUAGAUGGCUAGGAAUCUGUGUUGAUUUGUGUAAUCUCAUUUGGAUUGGGCCUCUCUUUUCAACACAUUUUUAUAUCUUGCAUUUCAGUUUCUACUAGCGCACAGUUCCUUGCUGCUGCAUUUAAAGAUAGCAUAUUUUAGAGCUCACACAGAUAAGUUGAAUUGGGAUAGAAUCUUUACUUAAAUCCCUACUUUUUAAGAAUUUCUUGCAUUUACCAUCAGAACUCCUGCAGUUCUACUUAAGAGAAUCCAGGUAAUGUAAAACUCUGAAUAAUAUUUAUUAACACUUUUUCUUUAAUGGCUAAGAAGAAAACCUCAUUGCAAUACCCAAGGGUUCAAUUUCUUUAAUGAUUUCCUUUUUUAAAAUUUGAUUUUAUUGUAUAUAUUUA
Heterocephalus glaber (naked mole-rat) is the source of this 2042-nucleotide long non-coding RNA. RefSeq lists it as uncharacterized. Lineage: Eukaryota; Metazoa; Chordata; Mammalia; Rodentia; Bathyergidae. The record is from RefSeq and is a predicted model, not a curated record.